UACGGGGGGGGCAAGCGUUGUUCGGAAUUACUGGGCGUAAAGGGCUCGUAGGCGGUCUGUUACGUCGGGAGUGAAAACUCAGGGCUCAACCCUGAGCCUGCUUCCGAUACGGGCAGACUAGAGGUAUGCAGGGGAGAAUGGAAUUCCUGGUGUAGCGGUGAAAUGCGCAGAUAUCAGGAGGAACACCGAUGGCGAAGGCAGGUCUCUGGGCAUUAACUGACGCUGAGGAGCGAAAGCAUGGGGAGCGAACAGG
RNAcentral lists this ribosomal RNA (253 nucleotides) under uncultured bacterium. Its description in RNAcentral is "partial 16S ribosomal RNA". It matches the Rfam family "Bacterial small subunit ribosomal RNA", at positions 524 to 776 of the family's 1533-position model. The record is from RNAcentral.